This 262-nucleotide ribosomal RNA is filed under the name uncultured bacterium. Its description in RNAcentral is "partial 16S ribosomal RNA". It matches the Rfam family "Bacterial small subunit ribosomal RNA", at positions 15 to 273 of the family's 1533-position model. The record is from RNAcentral.
GAUCAUGGCUCAGGAUGAACGCUAGCGGCAGGCUUAACACAUGCAAGUCGAGGGGCAGCGCGGGGCGGCAACGUCCUGGCGGCGACCGGCGGAAGGGUGCGUAACGCGUGAGCGACAUGCCCGUUGCCCGGGGACAACCGGUGGAAACGCCGACUAAUCCCCGAUGGGACGGAGGCCCUCAUGGGUCUCUGUUGAAAGUUACGGCGGCGACGGAUUGGUUCGCGUCCGAUUAGCUUGUUGGCGGGGUAACGGCCCACCAAGG